GAUGAACGCUGGCUACAGGCUUAACACAUGCAAGUCGAGGGGAAACGACGGGGAAGCUUGCUUCCCCGGGCGUCGACCGGCGCACGGGUGAGUAACGCGUAUCCAACCUGCCUCUGACUGAGGGAUAACCCGUCGAAAGUCGGCCUAAUACCCCAUGGCAUCGUCUGCGGGCAUCCAACGACGAUUAAAGAUUUCAUCGGUCAGGGAUGGGGAUGCGUCUGAUUAGCUUGUUGGCGGGGUAACGGCCCACCAAGGCUACGAUCAGUAGGGGUUCUGAGAGGAAGGUCCCCCACAUUGGAACUGAGACACGGUCCAAACUCCUACGGGAGGCAGCAGUGAGGAAUAUUGGUCAAUGGGCGGGAGCCUGAACCAGCCAAGUAGCGUGCAGGAUGACGGCCCUAUGGGUUGUAAACUGCUUUUAUGCGGGGAUAAAGUGAGGGACGUGUCCUUCAUUGCAGGUACCGCAUGAAUAAGGACCGGCUAAUUCCGUG
This 491-nucleotide ribosomal RNA is filed under the name uncultured bacterium. RNAcentral describes it as "partial 16S ribosomal RNA". It matches the Rfam family "Bacterial small subunit ribosomal RNA", at positions 28 to 507 of the family's 1533-position model. The record is from RNAcentral.